RNAcentral lists this ribosomal RNA (1103 nucleotides) under Eurotiomycetes sp. genotype 174. RNAcentral's name for it is "eukaryotic LSU rRNA". The stretch from base 507 to 1103 matches the Rfam family "Eukaryotic large subunit ribosomal RNA", at positions 1 to 601 of the family's 3401-position model. The record is from RNAcentral. Lineage: Eukaryota; Fungi; Ascomycota; Eurotiomycetes.
GAUCAUUACCGAGUGAGGGCCCUCUGGGUCCAACCUCCCACCCGUGUUUAUUUUACCUUGUUGCUUCGGCGGGCCCGCCUUAACUGGCCGCCGGGGGGCUUACGCCCCCGGGCCCGCGCCCGCCGAAGACACCCUCGAACUCUGUCUGAAGAUUGUAGUCUGAGUGAAAAUAUAAAUUAUUUAAAACUUUCAACAACGGAUCUCUUGGUUCCGGCAUCGAUGAAGAACGCAGCGAAAUGCGAUACGUAAUGUGAAUUGCAAAUUCAGUGAAUCAUCGAGUCUUUGAACGCACAUUGCGCCCCCUGGUAUUCCGGGGGGCAUGCCUGUCCGAGCGUCAUUGCUGCCCUCAAGCACGGCUUGUGUGUUGGGCCCCGUCCUCCGAUCCCGGGGGACGGGCCCGAAAGGCAGCGGCGGCACCGCGUCCGGUCCUCGAGCGUAUGGGGCUUUGUCACCCGCUCUGUAGGCCCGGCCGGCGCUUGCCGAUCAACCCAAAUUUUUAUCCAGGUUGACCUCGGAUCAGGUAGGGAUACCCGCUGAACUUAAGCAUAUCAAUAAGCGGAGGAAAAGAAACCAACAGGGAUUGCCCCAGUAACGGCGAGUGAAGCGGCAAGAGCUCAAAUUUGAAAGCUGGCUCCUUCGGGGUCCGCAUUGUAAUUUGUAGAGGAUGCUUCGGGAGCGGUCCCCAUCUAAGUGCCCUGGAACGGGACGUCAUAGAGGGUGAGAAUCCCGUAUGGGAUGGGGUGUCCGCGCCCGUGUGAAGCUCCUUCGACGAGUCGAGUUGUUUGGGAAUGCAGCUCUAAAUGGGUGGUAAAUUUCAUCUAAAGCUAAAUAUUGGCCGGAGACCGAUAGCGCACAAGUAGAGUGAUCGAAAGAUGAAAAGCACUUUGAAAAGAGAGUUAAAAAGCACGUGAAAUUGUUGAAAGGGAAGCGCUUGCGACCAGACUCGCUCGCGGGGUUCAGCCGGCAUUCGUGCCGGUGUACUUCCCCGCGGGCGGGCCAGCGUCGGUUUGGGCGGUCGGUCAAAGGCCCUCGGAAGGUAACGCCCCUAGGGGCGUCUUAUAGCCGAGGGUGCAAUGCGACCUGCCUAGACCGAGGAACGCGCU